This 447-nucleotide ribosomal RNA is filed under the name uncultured bacterium. Its description in RNAcentral is "partial 16S ribosomal RNA". It matches the Rfam family "Bacterial small subunit ribosomal RNA", at positions 29 to 523 of the family's 1533-position model. The record is from RNAcentral.
AGCGAACGCUGGCGGCAGGCUUAACACAUGCAAGUCGAACGGUCCUUCGGGAUAGUGGCGGACGGGUGAGUAACACGUGGGAACGUGCCUUUAGGUUCGGAACAACACAGGGAAACUUGUGCUAAUACCGGAUGUGCCCUUCGGGGGAAAGAUUUAUCGCCUUUAGAGCGGCCCGCGUCUGAUUAGCUAGUUGGUGAGGUAAUGGCUCACCAAGGCUACGAUCAGUAGCUGGUCUGAGAGGAUGACCAGCCACAUUGGGACUGAGACACGGCCCAAACUCCUACGGGAGGCAGCAGUGGGGAAUCUUGCGCAAUGGGCGAAAGCCUGACGCAGCCAUGCCGCGUGAAUGAUGAAGGUCUUAGGAUUGUAAAAUUCUUUCACCGGGGACGAUAAUGACGGUACCCGGAGAAGAAGCCCCGGCUAACUUCGUGCCAGCAGCCGCGGUAA